AUGUAUCAUGGUCGCCUAUUAGCCCAAUGUUCUUUUGAGUUUCCUAAGAUGACUAACAAGUUGUCUAGCAUCACAUGUAAGUUGCCUUCCAUGACUAUCUAUCAAAAUUUUGAUCAUAUAUGUAGGAAACUUUUACUGAGUGAUUUAGGCAAGUACUAUUUAUAUCGAGGCAACUUAUUCCGUUGGAAAUUGCAAGUUUUGCAGCAGCAGCAACAGCAGCGCAGCCAUCUAAUUCCUCCAAAUUCAGUAAUAGUGCAUGCAACCACUGUGACAAUCAGACUCGGGUUACAGAUCAACUGUACAGCUACAAAUGGCAAAACAACGAAAAGGUCAAAAGUUCAGAUUUGUAGCAGCGACAAGUUCUUGGCUCUAAGCAAAUCUAACUGCAGGAAAGUAGGAGAGUGCUAUUUAUAUUGA
RNAcentral lists this ribosomal RNA (417 nucleotides) under Triticum aestivum (bread wheat). RNAcentral's name for it is "partial small subunit ribosomal RNA". Lineage: Eukaryota; Viridiplantae; Streptophyta; Magnoliopsida; Poales; Poaceae. The record is from RNAcentral.